UGGGGAAUCUUGGACAAUGGGCGCAAGCCUGAUCCAGCCAUGCCGCGUGGAUGAUGAAGGCCCUAGGGUUGUAAAAUCCUUUCGCCGAGGACGAUAAUGACGGUACUCGGAGAAGAAGCUCCGGCUAACUUCGUGCCAGCAGCCGCGGUAAUACGUAGGGUGCGAGCGUUAAUCGGAAUUACUGGGCGUAAAGCGUGCGCAGGCGGCUUUGCAAGACAGAUGUGAAAUCCCCGGGCUCAACCUGGGAACUGCAUUUGUGACUGCAAGGCUAGAGUACGGUAGAGGGGGAUGGAAUUCCGCGUGUAGCAGUGAAAUGCGUAGAUAUGCGGAGGAACACCGAUGGCGAAGGCAAUCCCCUGGACCUGUACUGACGCUCAUGCACGAAAGCGUGGGGAGCAAACAGGAUUAGAUACCCCGGUAGUCCCUGAGCGGGCUGGCAAGGCGCAU
This 447-nucleotide ribosomal RNA is filed under the name uncultured bacterium. Its description in RNAcentral is "bacterial SSU rRNA". It matches the Rfam family "Bacterial small subunit ribosomal RNA", at positions 355 to 825 of the family's 1533-position model. The record is from RNAcentral.